AUUGAACGCUGGCGGCAUGCCUUACACAUGCAAGUCGAACGGCAGCGCGGGGCAACCUGGCGGCGAGUGGCGAACGGGUGAGUAAUAUAUCGGAACAUACCCUAGAGUGGGGAUAACGUAGCGAAAGUUACGCUAAUACCGCAUACGCACUAAGGUGGAAAGUGGGGGAUUCGCAAGAACCUCAUGCUCAUGGAGUGGCCGAUAUCUGAUUAGCUAGUUGGUGAGGUAAAGGCUCACCAAGGCAACGAUCAGUAGCUGGUUUGAGAGAACGACCAGCCACACUGGAACUGAGACACGGUCCAGACUCCUACGGGAGGCAGCAGUGGGGAAUUUUGGACAAUGGGGGCAACCCUGAUCCAGCAAUGCCGCGUGAGUGAAGAAGGCC
This 385-nucleotide ribosomal RNA is filed under the name uncultured bacterium. RNAcentral describes it as "bacterial SSU rRNA". It matches the Rfam family "Bacterial small subunit ribosomal RNA", at positions 30 to 416 of the family's 1533-position model. The record is from RNAcentral.